RNAcentral lists this ribosomal RNA (441 nucleotides) under uncultured bacterium. RNAcentral's name for it is "partial 16S ribosomal RNA". It matches the Rfam family "Bacterial small subunit ribosomal RNA", at positions 338 to 795 of the family's 1533-position model. The record is from RNAcentral.
CCUACGGGAGGCAGCAGUGGGGAAUAUUGGGCAAUGGGCGCAAGCCUGACCCAGCAACGCCGCGUGAGCGAUGAAGGUCUUCGGAUUGUAAAGCUCUGUCGCAGGGGACGAAGUAUGACGGUACCCUGUAAGAAAGCCCCGGCAAACUACGUGCCAACAGCCGCGGUAAUACGUAGGGGGCUAGCGUUGUCCGGAAUUCCUGGGCGUAAGGGGAGUGUAGACGGCUUGUCAAGUUAAGUGUGUAAGCCUGCGGCUUAACCGUAGAAUUGCACUUAAAACUGACUCGCGAGAGUGCAGGAGAGGUGAGUGGAAUGCGUGGUGUAGCGGUGGAAUGCGUAGAUAUUAGGAGGAACACCAGAGGCGAAGGCGGCUCACUGGACUGUAACUGACGUUGAGGCUCGAAAGCGUGGGGAGCAAACAGGAUUAGAUACCCUUGUAGUC